RNAcentral lists this ribosomal RNA (467 nucleotides) under uncultured bacterium. Its description in RNAcentral is "bacterial SSU rRNA". It matches the Rfam family "Bacterial small subunit ribosomal RNA", at positions 28 to 507 of the family's 1533-position model. The record is from RNAcentral.
GACGAACGCUGGCGGCGCGCCUAACACAUGCAAGUCGAACGGACGAGAGGGAGCUUGCUCCUUCAAGUUAGUGGCGGACGGGUGAGUAACACGUGAGCAACCUACCUAUCAGAGGGGGACAACAGUUGGAAACGACUGCUAAUACCGCAUGAUGUAUCGAGGGGGCAUCCCUUUGGUACCAAAGAUUUUAUCGCUGAAAGAUGGCCUCGCGUCUGAUUAGAUAGUUGGUGGGGUAACGGCCUACCAAGUCGACGAUCAGUAGCCGGACUGAGAGGUUGACCGGCCACAUUGGGACUGAGAUACGGCCCAGACUCCUACGGGAGGCAGCAGUGGGGAAUAUUGGGCAAUGGACGCAAGUCUGACCCAGCAACGCCGCGUGAAGGAAGAAGGCUUUCGGGUUGUAAACUUCUUUUAUCAGGGAAGAGUAGAAGACGGUACCUGAUGAAUAAGCCACGGCUAACUACGUG